GAUGAACGCUGGCGGUAUGCUUAACACAUGCAAGUCGAACGAAGACUUGCGGGUCUGCGUGGCGGACGGGUGAGUAACGCGGUAGAAUCUGGCUUAAGGUUGGGGACAAGCACGGGAAACGGUGGCUAAUACCCAAUGUGCCGCUUAGGAGAAAGAUUAAUGGCCUGAAGUUGUUCGCGAGUCUGAUUAGCUAGAUGGGGGCGUAAGAGCUUACCAAGGCGACGAUCAGUCGCCGGCCCGAGAGGACGAUCGGCACCAAGGGGACUGAGACGCGGCGCAGAAUCCUGGGGGAGGCGACAGUGGGGAAUUUCCCGCACUGGGCGACCGCCUUGCAGGGCAAUACCGCGUGGGGUAGGAAGCCUCUUGGGUUGUAAACUUCUUUUCUCAGCGAGGAAGGAAAUGACGGUACCUGAAGAAUCAGCAUCGGCUAACUCCGUG
RNAcentral lists this ribosomal RNA (438 nucleotides) under uncultured bacterium. Its description in RNAcentral is "partial 16S ribosomal RNA". It matches the Rfam family "Bacterial small subunit ribosomal RNA", at positions 28 to 507 of the family's 1533-position model. The record is from RNAcentral.